This 330-nucleotide ribosomal RNA is filed under the name uncultured bacterium. RNAcentral describes it as "bacterial SSU rRNA". It matches the Rfam family "Bacterial small subunit ribosomal RNA", at positions 568 to 898 of the family's 1533-position model. The record is from RNAcentral.
UGUGUAGGCGGUUCUUUAAGUUUGGUGUGAAAUCUCCCGGCUUAACCGGGAGGGUGCGCCGAAUACUGAGGGACUAGAGUACGGGAGAGGAAAGUGGAAUCCCUGGUGUAGCGGUGAAAUGCGUAGAUAUCAGGAGGAACACCGGUGGUGUAGACGGCUUUCUGGACCGUAACUGACGCUGAGACACGAAAGCGUGGGUAGCAAACAGGAUUAGAUACCCUGGUAGUCCACGCCCUAAACGAUGCAUAUUUGGUGUGGGCAGUUCAUUCUGUCCGUGCCGGAGCUAACGCGUUAAAUAUGCCGCCUGGGGAGUACAGUCGCAAGGCUGAA